This 31-nucleotide non-coding RNA is filed under the name Homo sapiens (human). The record is from RNAcentral. Lineage: Eukaryota; Metazoa; Chordata; Mammalia; Primates; Hominidae.
UGCCCUGUAAGCAGCUGUGGCCAGACUGGGU